RNAcentral lists this non-coding RNA (32 nucleotides) under Mus musculus (house mouse). Lineage: Eukaryota; Metazoa; Chordata; Mammalia; Rodentia; Muridae. The record is from RNAcentral.
UGAAAGUGAGUCUUAUCCAAGUCCAUAGGUAC